AACAUCUUGUCGGAGUGCCCCUGGUGAUUUAACCAGCAGGGGCUGAGACCGCAAACGCGGGAUCCGUUGAACCUGAUCAGGCUAAUACCUGCGAAGGAAACAAGAGCGCAUCGGCC
This 116-nucleotide non-coding RNA is filed under the name Lacimicrobium alkaliphilum. Its description in RNAcentral is "TPP sequence". It matches the Rfam family "TPP riboswitch aptamer (THI element)". Rfam says of the family: Vitamin B(1) in its active form thiamin pyrophosphate (TPP) is an essential coenzyme that is synthesised by coupling of pyrimidine and thiazole moieties in bacteria. The previously detected thiamin-regulatory element, thi box was extended, resulting in a new, highly conserved RNA secondary structure, the THI element, which is widely distributed in eubacteria and also occurs in some archaea. The record is from Rfam by way of RNAcentral. Lineage: Bacteria; Pseudomonadati; Pseudomonadota; Gammaproteobacteria; Alteromonadales; Alteromonadaceae.